Molecule: ribosomal RNA, 462 nt
Filed under: uncultured bacterium
Lineage: Bacteria
Description: partial 16S ribosomal RNA
Rfam family: Bacterial small subunit ribosomal RNA
Source: RNAcentral
GACGAACGCUGGCGGCGUGCUUAACACAUGCAAGUCGAACGGAAAGGCCCUUCGGGGUACUCGAGUGGCGAACGGGUGAGUAACACGUGGGUGAUCUGCCCUGCACUUUGGGAUAAGCCUGGGAAACUGGGUCUAAUACCGAAUAGGACCACGCGCUUCAUGGUGUGUGGUGGAAAGCGUUUGCGGUGUGGGAUGGGCCCGCGGCCUAUCAGCUUGUUGGUGGGGUAAUGGCCUACCAAGGCGACGACGGGUAGCCGGCCUGAGAGGGUGACCGGCCACACUGGGACUGAGAUACGGCCCAGACUCCUACGGGAGGCAGCAGUGGGGAAUAUUGCACAAUGGGCGCAAGCCUGAUGCAGCGACGCCGCGUGAGGGAUGACGGCCUUCGGGUUGUAAACCUCUUUCAAUAGGGACGAAGCGCAAGUGACGGUACCUAUAGAAGAAGCACCGGCCAACUACGUG